GAUGAACGCUGGCGGCGUGCCUAAUACAUGCAAGUCGAGCGAACGGACGAGAAGCUUGCUUUUCUGAUGUUAGCGGCGGACGGGUGAGUAACACGUGGAUAACCUACCUAUAAGACUGGGAUAACUUCGGGAAACCGGAGCUAAUACCGGAUAAUAUUUUGAACCGCAUGGUUCAAAAGUGAAAGACUGUCUUGCUGUCACUUAUAGAUGGAUCCGCGCUGCAUUAGCUAGUUGGUAAGGUAACGGCUUACCAAGGCAACGAUGCAUAGCCGACCUGAGAGGGUGAUCGGCCACACUGGAACUGAGACACGGUCCAGACUCCUACGGGAGGCAGCAGUAGGGAAUCUUCCGCAAUGGGCGAAAGCCUGACGGAGCAACGCCGCGUGAGUGAUGAAGGUCUUCGGAUCGUAAAACUCUGUUAUUAGGGAAGAACAUAUGUGUAAGUAACUGUGCACAUCUUGACGGUACCUAAUCAGAAAGCCACGGCUAACUACGUG
This 497-nucleotide ribosomal RNA is filed under the name uncultured bacterium. RNAcentral describes it as "partial 16S ribosomal RNA". It matches the Rfam family "Bacterial small subunit ribosomal RNA", at positions 28 to 507 of the family's 1533-position model. The record is from RNAcentral.